This 442-nucleotide long non-coding RNA is filed under the name Mytilus galloprovincialis (Mediterranean mussel). Lineage: Eukaryota; Metazoa; Mollusca; Bivalvia; Mytilida; Mytilidae. The record is from RNAcentral.
AUUUUCGCAAUUUACAUUAAAUUUUAUACAUACUUUCACCUAUCUAGUGAGGAAAAAAUACAAAUUUAAAACAAAUUGCAAAUUACAACUAUUUUAAAUUAUAAUGCACAGCAAGGACGUAUAUUAGUUAUCCGUCCGUCUGCACAGUUUGUGAUAAAUGGGUGUCAAAAUGUAUUAAACAAAAACCCAAAGACCAGUUUCAAGAAGAAUUCUUUGCUUUUAUUGCAGAAUCGCAUAAAACAUAAUGUUGUCGUAUUUUCAAAAAGAAUUAUCAAUUUGAAAACUACUUUUCCUUUUUACCUUUCUAAAUUCAUAUAUUACGCAGAUAUAGAUGUGGUAGUUGCCGAUUGAGUCUAGAAGGUGUCAGGAUUUACACAGAGAAGACAGAAUAUGCCGUCUCUGUGACACAAACAACAUUGAUGACGAGUACCAUUACAUUAUG